This 437-nucleotide ribosomal RNA is filed under the name uncultured Pseudoflavonifractor sp. RNAcentral's name for it is "partial 16S ribosomal RNA". It matches the Rfam family "Bacterial small subunit ribosomal RNA", at positions 341 to 792 of the family's 1533-position model. Lineage: Bacteria; Bacillati; Bacillota; Clostridia; Eubacteriales; Oscillospiraceae. The record is from RNAcentral.
ACGGGAGGCAGCAGUGGGGAAUAUUGGGCAAUGGGGGAAACCCUGACCUAGCAACGCCGCGUGAAGGAAGAAGGCCUUCGGGUUGUAAACUUCUUUUACCAGGGACGAACACAAUGACGGUACCUGGAGAAAAAGCAACGGCUAACUACGUGCCAGCAGCCGCGGUAAUACGUAGGUUGCAAGCGUUGUCCGGAUUUACUGGGUGUAAAGGGCGUGUAGGCGGAGCUGCAAGUCAGAUGUGAAAUCCCGGGGCUCAACCCCGGAACUGCAUUUGAAACUGUAGCCCUUGAGUAUCGGAGAGGCAAGCGGAAUUCCUAGUGUAGCGGUGAAAUGCGUAGAUAUUAGGAGGAACACCGGUGGCGAAGGCGGCUUACUGGACAGCAACUGACGUUGAGGCUCGAAAGCGUGGGGAGCAAACAGGAUUAGAUACCCUGGUA